UUUAGGCAAAGGCAAAAUGGAAUUCUAAGCGUCACUCGAGUCAAAAACGUUCGAUUCCAUUUAUUUGCUAUGGACUCACGCUGGUGUUCCAGUUUAGCCAACGUUCUUUUGCCUUUUUUCAGCCUUGGGUGAAUUUGGACUCGUUCUAUUUUCCAGCCUACCGCUGGUGUGGAUGCUCGCCAAGGUUUCGAGUUGUGUAUAAUUUUUUAGUUAUGGUCCUUGGUGUGGAUGGCCCUUUAUUAACUUCAAUCGUUMUGCAACGUCACGGGCAGUUUUGUAGACAAGAUACAACAAAUGAGUGGAUUGAGUAGCCUUCAACUAAUAAACCAAAUGUACAACACUGGUAAAGUACCUUGCGGAUGGGUUCCAGUCUGGACCGUCCAGAACUGGAGGGCCUAGUCCAAGAUCUUGACAGACUGGGAUAGAAACUGGAACCUUGGAGCCAGACUCUGGAGACAGCACCAGGACAUUGGGGUCAACCCAAAGCAGACCUUUCCAGCUGGACGGCCUGAGACCACACUCGCUCUCUGUGUAUUGCAAGGCCCCACUGCAUGCGCCUCAGUUCAGCAUGUAGCUGUGGGGAGUUAUUGUUUAAGCAGUUAUUGUUGAACCUCCCCCUCCCCCGUUGUUCUGCAUCACACUCAAUCUCUGUGGCGGAGGCAGGGUGGUCUCCAAAUUAGCUAUAUAGGCUGGGUAAUAUUUCUGACUGUAUCUUAGUCUCGUCGACCACUGCCAAGGUGCUUCUCUGUCAACCAAACCAUGUAGUACAGGCAAAAACACAUAACUAAUGAGGAGAUCCCAGCAAGACACGGAAAUAUCACACAGCCAUUCUAAUGAAGAAAGUGAUCCAGAGUGGAGCCUUGUAAAACACUACACCGAUAACUGCCGUAAAUACACAGAUCCACAUGCUCAUUUCUGUUUCCUUGAAUUAAAAUGUAAAUGUUGUGAACGCUAUAGGCGGAGGCCUUUGGAGACUGUGUGGGUUUGUGGCCACACACYAUCCAUCUGUCAGUAUAUCUCACUCCAGUAAAAGGAUGCUGUCAGAAACAACAACAUAUUUCAGCAUGCAGAAAAAUGAUCCAACUCUUGAUGUGUGUGUCUUUCAGAGGAUAAAUACUUUUCAGCUUUUCCUAACUGGAUCAACUUAAAGGGCCAAUAGUGAUAAGCCAGGGAUUCCAUGAAAAACCUCAGCUCUGUAGUUCUCUGAAAACCUCCUCGGUCAACGAUUCCAAGAGAGGGAUGAAGGCAGACAGUGCCAAAGACCUCCACCACCAGCCUCUCUUCUCUCUAAUAUCUGUCAAAAAAUAAAUCAAAACGAUCUGAAGACAAAUGUCUCUGUGCUGGAUGUUGCAAAGCCAAGCGUCUCUUCUCAAUCUGAAUGCCAGUAUCUCAUAUGAAUUUCAAUUAUUCUUUUAGAUAUGCAUCACCUCGCGCGCGGUCUGUGUCAGGUUAUAAAUCAGCAGCCCACACUCCUGAUCCAGAGCCCAAUGCUGACAUCAGCAGCGUCCGAUUCGAUGGCAGUGGGAUCGGGGUUAUCGACCGAGCCAGGGGGCUAGAAAACAAUACAAACUCUCAGGCAAGGCACCCAGUUGCACCAAGCAUGGCAGAGCAUCUGCACAGCACAUGUCAACUUUUUACACCAAGAGUAACAUGUAAAUACUUUUCUAACCCCGGAGAAUCCUCACGUGGCCACGUGUCAUAUUAUGUCUUUCGGAAAGAGAGAGGAGAAGUUGUGUGUGUGUUUGUGUGUGUGUGUUGUAAGUAUGUAUGUUCAUUUGAUGCUGGAAUCCUGUAGUUGGUACACUUCAGUAAUAUUAUCCACUCAGAAAAAGAGAGAGAAUAUUUGACUCGCUCGGCCCCAACUCUACAGUACCUCACCAAACUCUGUUCCCAUGCUCACUCCUCAUGACAUGCAUAGCUUGAUUUCCCCUCUGCAAUUUUCUCUGAAAACAUGACAUUACAGGGAAUGCCUUGUUAUCUCCAAAUGUGUGGUCAUGGACACUCUUACUGGAAAAGACAUGUGAAAUCCAAUAACUCCAUGAGCAUGCUAUUUAGCAAUGGCUUCUGUCGAAGAUGGGAUGGGAUUCAUUUAUACUUCUUCGUCUGGAUUCGGAAUUUCUGGAAUGAUUGCAGUUGCAUAUAUUUAUGUAACUUAGUUGAAGGCUCAGAAGAAAACCAGUCUCAAAACAAUUGGAGGAAAGUAAUUAUGAGAGUGAAAAGGGCCAUAACUCCUCUAAAUGGUAAACCUCAACUCUGACCCCCAGGAGGAUGUAGAAGUGUACCAUGUUUCAAGCUGUAGCAAUAGCUUUGGGCUAAAGGUCAGACCACUACUGCUCAGGAUACCGUUACUGAGAAGGGCCACCAUCUGUGAGGGUAGCUCUUAAAGGACACUCAAAUUUAGGCUCUACUCAGAGUAAACUUAAUCAGUGCCAGUAUAAAGUUAUAUGAGGAAAUCAACAUCCAAACAUGAAAGAGGCUCUCUACAGUAGAUGACAGAUUGGUCACUGUAUGGCGUAUCAUAUGUGCGUGAGAAGUCACAAUUCAAAGUCUGAAUCUGUAUCCUUUCGUUAAGGUUACAGUAACUGAUAAAGAAGAAAUGAUGUUCCAUGGUGCAGCAUAAUAUCAAGCACCUUUUUAAAAUUUCAAAUAAAGGUUGGCAUUGAAA
Molecule: long non-coding RNA, 2665 nt
Organism: Salvelinus sp. IW2-2015
Lineage: Eukaryota; Metazoa; Chordata; Actinopteri; Salmoniformes; Salmonidae
Exons: 3
Source: RefSeq, a predicted model, not a curated record